RNAcentral lists this long non-coding RNA (338 nucleotides) under Nicotiana benthamiana. RNAcentral describes it as "long non-coding RNA (NBEN_LNC003995)". The record is from RNAcentral. Lineage: Eukaryota; Viridiplantae; Streptophyta; Magnoliopsida; Solanales; Solanaceae.
AAUGGAACAGUGGCCCUCAUGUAACAGGCUACGUGGACUUUGCAGAAUCCGUAAAAGAUCAUCACCCAAUUCACGGUCAAUCAUUUCCCUGGGCUUCUUGGUCCAGUUGCCCACCUCCUUUACUGCCCUCUCUUACAACUCAACUCGAAUGUUGCCUCGAAUCGAUGGCCCAAACCAAUCAUUUCCUUGGUAUUCUUGGUCCAAUUGCCCACCUCCUUUACUUCCAUCUCUUACUGCCCGACUCGAAUGUUGCCUCGAAUCAAUGGCCCAAAAGGGCAUUAAGCUUGGAACUAUAAGCUCUCAUCAGAUUUUCACUGUUUUGAGUAAAUGGCAUGGAC